This 301-nucleotide ribosomal RNA is filed under the name uncultured bacterium. RNAcentral's name for it is "partial 16S ribosomal RNA". It matches the Rfam family "Bacterial small subunit ribosomal RNA", at positions 509 to 809 of the family's 1533-position model. The record is from RNAcentral.
CAGUCGCCGCGGUAAUACGGAGGGUGCAAGCGUUAAUCGGAAUUACUGGGCGUAAAGCGCACGCAGGCGGUCUGACAAGUCAGAUGUGAAAUCCCCGGGCUUAACCUGGGAACUGCAUUUGAAACUGUCAGGCUGGAGUCUUGUAGAGGGGGGUGGAAUUCCAGGUGUAGCGGUGAAAUGCGUAGAGAUCUGGAGGAAUACCGGUGGCGAAGGCGGCCCCCUGGACAAAGACUGACGCUCAGGUGCGAAAGCGUGGGGAGCAAACAGGAUUAGAUACCCGCGUAGUCCCUGUCUCUUAUAU